GGGGGGGGGGGGGGGGGGGGGGGGGGGGGGGGGGGGGGGCGGGGGGGGGGGGAGGGUGCGUGGGGGAUGUUGGCGGCUGGCGGGGGAGUGAGGCGUGGGGGACCUACCGAUGAGACGGGGAUGACUUCUGUCAACCGGAGAUACGCACGGAUCAUAUUGUGAAUCGUAUGGUUCAAAGGUGAAAGCAUGUCUGUCUGUCCCUGAUAUCUGGAGCAGCGAUUCAUUAGCCCGUUGGUACGGUAACGGAUUACCAAGGCAACGAUGCAUAGCCGACCUGAGAGGCUGAUCGGCCACACUGGACCUGCGACACGGUCCAGACUCCUACGGGAGGCAGCAGUAGGGAAUCUUCCGCAAUGGGCGAAAGCCUGACGGAGCAACGCCGCGUGAGUGAUGAAGGUCUUCGGAUCGUAAAACUCUGUUAUUAGGGAAGAACAUAUGUGUAAGUAACUGUGCACAUCUUGACGGUACCUAAUCAGAAAGCCACGGCUAACUACGUG
RNAcentral lists this ribosomal RNA (497 nucleotides) under uncultured bacterium. RNAcentral's name for it is "partial 16S ribosomal RNA". It matches the Rfam family "Bacterial small subunit ribosomal RNA", at positions 38 to 507 of the family's 1533-position model. The record is from RNAcentral.